GCGGUCAGAAAGGCGACGGGCUGUCGGAGUUGGAAAGACAGAGUUUUGCUCUUAUUGCCCAGGCUGGAGUGCAAUGGCACGAUCUCAGCUCACUGCAACGUCUGCCUCCCAGGUUCAAGCGAUUCUCCUGCCUCAGCCUCCCGAGUAGCUGGGAUUACAGGGCCUACUGCAGUGCAUGAAGGUGGUAUGGACUCAGAACUCUGAAGUCUGAGGAGACAAAUACAUGCCCACCAUAACAACAUCACACAAUACCUAGAGUCAAAACAGUUAUCCCUAUUCCUACCCCCAACUGAGUUAUUCAAUAAAGCCUGCCUUGUUGA
Molecule: long non-coding RNA, 320 nt
Filed under: Homo sapiens (human)
Lineage: Eukaryota; Metazoa; Chordata; Mammalia; Primates; Hominidae
Description: non-protein coding ZEB1-AS1:13
Source: RNAcentral